Long non-coding RNA from Anolis carolinensis (green anole), 2444 nucleotides. RefSeq lists it as uncharacterized. Lineage: Eukaryota; Metazoa; Chordata; Lepidosauria; Squamata; Anolidae. The transcript is spliced from 2 exons. The record is from RefSeq and is a predicted model, not a curated record.
AACCCGUCCUGGCGUGACAGCCUCUGGGUUGGUGCUGUCAGAGAGUCUGGCUGCUUGAGAGUCUGACAUUGCAUCCUCCCCAUCGCUGCAAAACAGCAUUUGCUCAAAGGCAAUAGAGCACAGAUGAACCAGCCCAGGAGCAGUGAAUAUGAGAUCGCGUCCACCAACAGCAAGCUAUUCCGCAUACAACUCUCCUGCACUUCUUUGUUUUGAGGAAGAACCCAUUCAGUGAGGCAUUUGGAGCUCAGAGCAGCUUUCUUGAGAUGAGAGCGAUGCCACCUGCCUUUUUUUUUUUUUUUGCAAUCAGCAUGGCUCUCCAGAAAGCUUGUCCACCAGACCUCUCACUCUGAGAAGUCCCCUCCCUUGGAGAAGAUGGAUGAUUUCCCUGGAGAGCCUACUCAUUGGAUGUGUCACUUUAAGGCAGGGAUAGAUAGGCAGGCUGUGACCCACAAUUCCAUCGGCCAAAUUUUCUCUAGUGGUUGUGGACAGCAUUUCUGACAUGACCAGGGAUCGUCCCAAAAUGGCAAAAUGUUGAUUUGUUUGCAAGAGAGAUGCAAUGGAAAGUGCAGCUCUCUGAAGUUUUCUUGCUUCACUAGUAUAACUCUUUAGCCUCCCAAAGUUGCUCAUCCUUGCUCUACAGAGGGAGGGAGUGGGCAGUGGCUAUUUCAGAGAUCACGGCAUUUGCUGCUGUGGGAAUAUAGCACUGUAAAGAGAGUGAUCCCCAUCGCAGGGCUAUAAGGCCUUCUUAAAAUCAUAGCAGGCCUCUGGAGAGAGCACAACCCACCAACUUCCACUCCACAAUUUUACAUGAGGUCUUCACUAUGACUUUAUCUCUGUUUCAUGGAAGAGUUGACCCUUUAAUUCUAAGAACAGAGAAAGAGCAUUGAUAAAGUAGACUAAAAAUAUCUAUGUAGUACACUUGUCCCUCCAUGUUCAUGUGUUCUUCAUCCAUAAAGAAAGGAAACCUUAUUUUGUUUUCAUUAUGGUGAUACCCUGCUGUUACCUUUAAUAAUUUCAUGGUUUCUCAAGCUUGCUCCAACACUUGAGCUAUUCAUCAUUUAAUAUAAGGAAUGCCAUUUUACUAUGUCCUUGUACAUAAUGAUCCUUGAGCAAAGCCCAAAGGAUGAUUUGUGCUCACUUUAUAACUAGCUGCUGAUGGGAAGACCAAUGCAGAAUAGGAGCACACUAGCACCCUUAUGGUAGCAUUCCCCAACAACUAGUAUACAGACUCUUAUUGCCUUUGAUCCUGCAGGCAAUACAUAACACCAUUCUUGGCAGUUGCUGAUAUCUUUAACUUCCCUAUAUUUCUUUCAAUUCUUCCAUUAAAGGUGUCUAAGUUCAUGGUGAUCAAUACAUGUUGUAGAAAUGAUUAUGACUUAGAGAGAAAAAGUACUGCCUUUUGUCAGUCUGCUUUAUGGCUCUCAUGUUAAAGGCCUCUUCCACACAGCUGAAUAAAAUCACACAUUUUCUGCUUUGAACUGGAAUAUAUGGCAGUGUGGACUCUGAGUUCAAAGCAGAUAUUGUAGGAUUUUCUGUCUUGAAAUUCCGAGUUAUAUGGCUGUGUGGAAGGGUCCAAAGAAACAGGGAGGGGAGUCCUACAAACUGGUGCUUUUAUUUCAUCCACAUCUCACUUUAGUGAAGGUGUCCCUUUCUGUUACGUAUCAGAUAUGCACUCUGUGUUCUGGACAGAUAUUCAGUCAGAAUAUAUACUUGUCUGAUGCUUAGAAUGCCAAAGGAUGGGACAGGAAAGUGGGAGGCAUGAUAUCAGCAGAAAGUUGCUUAUUACCUUCUUUCUCUAAAGCGUCCACAAGCCUCAUUACAACCAGUGGUGCUUGUUCUGGGAUAUUUAUCUGAUCAACAAGCUCCUUCUGCCCAGGAGACCCUGUCAAGAACAAAGAGACAAAGAUAUAAGUUUAAGUCCCAUUUUCCUCAUUCCAGUUGUUUCACAACUCUGACCCAGAAGCAGUACAGUCCCUCACUUGCCAGAGAUACUUGGUGCUAGUCAGCCCGGCAUCGGUAUCUCUGGAAAAAAAUUAAAUUAAUUUUGUUAUAUAUUAAGAGUCCUAAACCAAAUGUGAAAUGUUUGAAAAUUAUGAGUUACAUGUAGAAACAAAUUGUAGAGACAUGCCAGUCAAAGAGGAUGAGAGAAAGAGAUCAACCACAUAGUUGAAUUAUAAGUAUAGUGUGAACAAGGAAUGAAAAGAGGUAUAAUAACAUAAGAGUCAAGCAUCUGCUCCUCAAUGCCAACACACUUUUUAUGUCUAGAGGAGACUUUUCAGGGGGAAAAACUGGUUCUGCAAAUGUUCAACAUAAUUCAGUUGAAGCAAGGAAAAGCUACCGUUGCCUAGCACCAGUGACUGUUAUCUUGCACAGAUAUCAUCACCUCUUUUGAGGCAUAAUUUUCAUUAUUAAUGUACAGCUCAAUAAACAUGUGAUUCCAAUCA